RNAcentral lists this ribosomal RNA (952 nucleotides) under Inocybe jurana. Its description in RNAcentral is "LSU rRNA". It matches the Rfam family "Eukaryotic large subunit ribosomal RNA", at positions 32 to 962 of the family's 3401-position model. The record is from RNAcentral. RNAcentral also lists the same sequence under 1 other name. Lineage: Eukaryota; Fungi; Basidiomycota; Agaricomycetes; Agaricales; Inocybaceae.
ACUUAAGCAUAUCAAUAAGCGGAGGAAAAGAAACUAACCAGGAUUCCCUUAGUAACUGCGAGUGAACUGGGAAGAGCUCAAAUUUGUAAUCUGGCGGUCUCUGGCCGUCCGAGUUGUAAUCUAGAGAAGUGCUUACCUGCACUGGACCAUGUACAAGUCUCCUGGAAUGGAGCGUCAUAGAGGGUGAGAAUCCCGUCUUUGACAUGGACUGCCAGGGCUCAACAGGUGCGCUCUCGAAGAGUCGAGUUGUUUGGGAAUGCAGCUCAAAAUGGGUGGUAAAUGCCAUCUAAAGCUAAAUAUUGGCGAGAGACCGAUAGCGAACAAGUACCGUGAGGGAAAGAUGAAAAGAACUUUGGAAAGAGAGUUAAACAGUACGUGAAAUUGCUGAAAGGGAAACGCUUGAAGUCAGUCGCAUCGUCUGGAAAUCAACCUUGCUCUUGCUGGGUGUACUUUCCGUCCGAUGGGUCAGCAUCAGUUUCGGCUGCUGGACAAGGCCUUUGGGAAUGUGGCAUCUCAGGAUGUGUUAUAGCCCUUUGGCAGAUGCAGUGGCUGGGACUGAGGAACUCGGCGCGCCGCGAGGCUGGGACGCUCGUCGUCCACACCAACGCGCCUAGGAUGCUGGCAUAAUGGCUUUAAUCGACCCGUCUUGAAACACGGACCAAGGAGUCUAACAUGCCUGCGAGUGUUUGGGUGGAAAACCCAUGCGCGCAAUGAAAGUGAAGGUUGAGAUCCCUGUCGUGGGGAGCAUCGACGCCCAGACCAGACCUUCUGUGACGGCUCUGCGGUAGAGCAUGCAUGUUGGGACCCGAAAGAUGGUGAACUAUGCCUGAAUAGGGUGAAGCCAGAGGAAACUCUGGUGGAGGCUCGUAGCGAUUCUGACGUGCAAAUCGAUCGUCAAAUUUGGGUAUAGGGGCGAAAGACUAAUCGAACCAUCUAGUAGCUGGUUCCUGCC